GCCAGGUGUGGUGGCGCACACCUGUAAUCCCAGUUACUCGGGAGGCUGAGGCAAGAGAAUCAUUUGAACCCAGGAGGUGGAGGUUGCAGUGAGCCAAGAUGGCCUCACUGCACUCCAGCUUGGGCAACAGAGUGAGACUUCGUCUCAG
Molecule: non-coding RNA, 148 nt
Filed under: Gorilla gorilla gorilla (western lowland gorilla)
Lineage: Eukaryota; Metazoa; Chordata; Mammalia; Primates; Hominidae
Source: Rfam by way of RNAcentral